RNAcentral lists this ribosomal RNA (484 nucleotides) under uncultured bacterium. RNAcentral's name for it is "partial 16S ribosomal RNA". It matches the Rfam family "Bacterial small subunit ribosomal RNA", at positions 30 to 507 of the family's 1533-position model. The record is from RNAcentral.
AUUGAACGCUGGCGGCAGGCCUAACACAUGCAAGUCGAGCGGAUGAAGGGAGCUUGCUCCUGGAUUCAGCGGCGGACGGGUGAGUAAUGCCUAGGAAUCUGCCUGGUAGUGGGGGAUAACGUCCGGAAACGGGCGCUAAUACCGCAUACGUCCUGAGGGAGAAAGUGGGGGAUCUUCGGACCUCACGCUAUCAGAUGAGCCUAGGUCGGAUUAGCUAGUUGGUGGGGUAAAGGCCUACCAAGGCGACGAUCCGUAACUGGUCUGAGAGGAUGAUCAGUCACACUGGAACUGAGACACGGUCCAGACUCCCACGGGAGGCAGCAGUGGGGAAUAUUGGACAAUGGGCGAAAGCCUGAUCCAGCCAUGCCGCGUGUGCGAAGAAGGUCUUCGGAUUGUAAAGCACUUUAAGUUGGGAGGAAGGGCAGUAAGUUAAUACCUUGCUGUUUUGACGUUACCAACAGAAUAAGCACCGGCUAACUUCGUG